Molecule: transfer RNA, 77 nt
Filed under: Chloroflexota bacterium
Lineage: Bacteria; Bacillati; Chloroflexota
Description: tRNA-Val
Rfam family: tRNA
About the family: Transfer RNA (tRNA) molecules are approximately 80 nucleotides in length. Their secondary structure includes four short double-helical elements and three loops (D, anti-codon, and T loops).
Source: RNAcentral
GGGCGAUUAGCUCAGCUGGUUAGAGCGCUUGCUUUACACGCAAGAAGUCAGAGGUUCGAGUCCUCUAUCGCCCACCA